GUCCAUAUUAGCAAAGCCAAUAGGAAAAAAAUUAAUUUAUAGUUAUUGUUUAAUUUAUAGAGUAUUAAUAGAGGUUAUACUGUAUUUGAUUUUUUUUUUUUGGCAACUACUGUAUUUAGUUUUAGAUUCAGUUUACUCAGUUAAACUAGAUUGUAACUUGUUUGAUUUACUCAGUUAAAACAAGGUUAACAUUAGUCUUGCCAAGAACAUGAUUACAUACAUGGAUUAGGUAUGUUGUGUGUUUGCCUAUUAAUAUUUUUUUGAGAAAUUGCAUUGUACACACAAGACAUAUACGUUAAUUAGGCAAAUGCACUAUUUACAUUAUCGAGGAGGUCAGAAGGUGUUAGUUUUACAUAUCUAACCUUGCUCACUUCAUACUUUCAUCAACCGGUCACCUAUUGUUCUUGUAAUACAAUUUUCUUCUUAAUUAUUUAUUUCUGUUUACUCAAUCCAACACGUAAUCUUUUUUGUGUCAGGCAAGUGGAAUUGUUUCUGUUACCGAAACUCGUUUAUUGGCUUCUUAGUAACGCAUACCAAAAGUCUCUCACUUCAUCCCCUUUUAUAUUAAGUUCUGUUGUUCCAUUGUUCUACUUCAAUCCAACCAUUCUAAAUUAGAUCUCAGUCAUACACCUCAAUUCAUAAAAUCCGAUGGAUCCAAACGAUGAAUCCCCAUCUCCGCUCCGGUUUCCUCCUAGAAUGUUUGCGCUUGGCGAAGAACCUGUCGGUGUUACGGUUACUCCUUACCACAAACCUACAUGCAUUCGCAAAAUUCUGAAUGCCCUCGAACCAGAUGAAGUUCAGUCUAUCAGGGAGACCCAGUUCGGAAAGCUUGUCGAAAUUGCAGACAAACCCUCGUUUUCUGGCCGGUUUGGUCUGUUCCUGUUAUCCCAGACAAACCAAAAUUCUUUCAAAUCCUUUUUAUUAUCUGAGAGAGUAAUUUCGAAAUUUCCCUAUUUGCUCGUUUUUAUUUUUUAAAAUUUUUUAUUCAUGUAAGUGUUUCAAGUUUCAAUACCCAAUCGUGAGGCUGAAGAAGUCCAUGAGGGUGACUGACCGACAAUACAGGUGGAGAAAACAUGGUUCCAGUUACCCAUAAUCGUGAGACUGAAGAAAUCCGUGAGGGUGAUGGGACCGACAAUACAGGUGGAGAAGACAUGAAAAUACAUCCUCGUUAGUUUCAGAAUCGUCCAAAUUUAUAUUUGGAUUUUGAAAUACUAAUAUUAGCAACAAUACACUCCACACUACCUACAUUGCUACGACUGUACUUAGCUUCUAUUCAUAAAGAUUGCAGACACCAUGUUUUGUUUGGACAGUCAAUGACGUUUGUGUCCCUUUUUGUACUGAUUUAUCUAUAUAUUAAUAACGAAUCCUUGUUCUCCCUU
Brassica napus (rape) is the source of this 1379-nucleotide long non-coding RNA. RefSeq lists it as uncharacterized. The transcript is spliced from 2 exons. The record is from RefSeq and is a predicted model, not a curated record. NCBI's taxonomy places the organism in Eukaryota, Viridiplantae, Streptophyta, Magnoliopsida, Brassicales, Brassicaceae.